This 630-nucleotide ribosomal RNA is filed under the name uncultured soil bacterium. RNAcentral's name for it is "bacterial SSU rRNA". It matches the Rfam family "Bacterial small subunit ribosomal RNA", at positions 57 to 691 of the family's 1533-position model. The record is from RNAcentral.
GCAAGUCGAGUGCGCGUCCGUAGCAAUACGGAUGGCGCACGGCGCACGGGUGCGUAACACGUGGGCAAUCUGCCCUUCGAUGGGGAAUAACUCCGGGAAACCGAAGCUAAUUCCGCAUAACAUUCCCUGGACCCCAGUUCGGGGAAUCAAAGCAGUGAUGCGUCGGAGGAGGAGCCCGCGCCCGAUUAGCUAGUUGGCAGGGUAACGGCCUACCAAGGCUAUGAUCGGUAGCUGGUCUGAGAGGAUGGCCAGCCACACUGGAACUGAGACACGGUCCAGACUCCUACGGGAGGCAGCAGUGGGGAAUCUUGCGCAAUGGGCGAAAGCCUGACGCAGCGACGCCGCGUGGGGGAUGAAGCUUCUCGGAGUGUAAACCCCUUUCGACUGGGACGAAUGCCCGCAAGGGAGUGACGGUACCAGUAGAAGAAGCCCCGGCUAACUACGUGCCAGCAGCCGCGGUAAGACGUAGGGGGCCAGCGUUGUUCGGAAUUACUGGGUGUAAAGGGUUCGUAGGCGGUGUGGCAAGUCGGGAGUGAAAUCUUUGGGCUUAACUCAAAGGCUGCUUCCGAAACUGCUGUGCUGGAGUGUGGGAGAGGCGCGUGGAAUUGCAGGUGUAGCGGUGAAAUGCGU